Non-coding RNA from Pelobates cultripes (western spadefoot toad), 247 nucleotides. NCBI's taxonomy places the organism in Eukaryota, Metazoa, Chordata, Amphibia, Anura, Pelobatidae. The record is from the annotation of a GenBank genome assembly.
CCCAGUCGCGCUGUUAAAGGGCCACAGCGUCUGACCAGGCCUGUGCCAUAAAAAGCUCAUCGGGUGGACCUAAGUGCAUGGACCACGUGAUUGGCCCCCGUAGUGUACGCCUCAGCAGCUGCACCAGCUGUAGUUCCGUGACUGGACAGAGUCUGUGGAGAGUCUCUGUGGAAUGUUGAGACAUUCUCUGUGGAAUGUUGGGAGCAGAAGCCAGACUGUAGCAGGUCAAGUAAGGAGUUGUGUCAUG